RNAcentral lists this ribosomal RNA (280 nucleotides) under uncultured Lachnospiraceae bacterium. Its description in RNAcentral is "partial 16S ribosomal RNA". The stretch from base 42 to 280 matches the Rfam family "Bacterial small subunit ribosomal RNA", at positions 100 to 339 of the family's 1533-position model. The record is from RNAcentral. Lineage: Bacteria; Bacillati; Bacillota; Clostridia; Lachnospirales; Lachnospiraceae.
UUUGAUUUCCUUCGGGACUGAUUAUUUUGUGACUGAGUGGCGGACGGGUGAGUAACGCGUGGGUAACCUGCCUUGUACAGGGGGAUAACAGUUGGAAACGGCUGCUAAUACCGCAUAAGCGCACGGUGCUGCAUGGCACAGUGUGAAAAACUCCGGUGGUAUGAGAUGGACCCGCGUUGGAUUAGCUAGUUGGUGAGGUAACGGCCCACCAAGGCGACGAUCCAUAGCCGACCUGAGAGGGUGACCGGCCACAUUGGGACUGAGACACGGCCCAAACUCC